Molecule: ribosomal RNA, 1346 nt
Filed under: uncultured bacterium
Lineage: Bacteria
Description: partial 16S ribosomal RNA
Rfam family: Bacterial small subunit ribosomal RNA
Source: RNAcentral
GACGAACUUUGGCGGCGUGCUUAACACAUGCAAGUCGAACGGAAAGGCCCUGCUUUUGUGGGGUGCUCGAGUGGCGAACGGGUGAGUAACACGUGAGUAACCUGCCCUUGACUUUGGGAUAACUUCAGGAAACUGGGGCUAAUACCGGAUAGGAGCUCCUGCUGCAUGGUGGGGGUUGGAAAGUUUCGGCGGUUGGGGAUGGACUCGCGGCUUAUCAGCUUGUUGGUGGGGUAGUGGCUUACCAAGGCUUUGACGGGUAGCCGGCCUGAGAGGGUGACCGGCCACAUUGGGACUGAGAUACGGCCCAGACUCCUACGGGAGGCAGCAGUGGGGAAUAUUGCACAAUGGGCGGAAGCCUGAUGCAGCAACGCCGCGUGCGGGAUGACGGCCUUCGGGUUGUAAACCGCUUUCGCCUGUGACGAAGCGUGAGUGACGGUAAUGGGUAAAGAAGCACCGGCUAACUACGUGCCAGCAGCCGCGGUGAUACGUAGGGUGCGAGCGUUGUCCGGAUUUAUUGGGCGUAAAGGGCUCGUAGGUGGUUGAUCGCGUCGGAAGUGUAAUCUUGGGGCUUAACCCUGAGCGUGCUUUCGAUACGGGUUGACUUGAGGAAGGUAGGGGAGAAUGGAAUUCCUGGUGGAGCGGUGGAAUGCGCAGAUAUCAGGAGGAACACCAGUGGCGAAGGCGGUUCUCUGGGCCUUUCCUGACGCUGAGGAGCGAAAGCGUGGGGAGCGAACAGGCUUAGAUACCCUGGUAGUCCACGCUGUAAACGGUGGGUACUAGGUGUGGGGUCCAUUCCACGGGUUCCGUGCCGUAGCUAACGCUUUAAGUACCCCGCCUGGGGAGUACGGCCGCAAGGCUAAAACUCAAAGGAAUUGACGGGGCCCCGCACAAGCGGCGGAGCAUGCGGAUUAAUUCGAUGCAACGCGUAGAACCUUACCUGGGUUUGACAUGGGUCGGGAGUGCUCAGAGAUGGGUGUGCCUCUUUUGGGGUCGGUUCACAGGUGGUGCAUGGCUGUCGUCAGCUCGUGUCGUGAGAUGUUGGGUUAAGUCCCGCAACGAGCGCAACCCUUGUUCACUGUUGCCAGCACGUUAUGGUGGGGACUCAGUGGAGACCGCCGGGGUCAACUCGGAGGAAGGUGGGGAUGACGUCAAGUCAUCAUGCCCCUUAUGUCCAGGGCUUCACGCAUGCUACAAUGGCUGGUACAGAGAGUGGCGAGCCUGUGAGGGUGAGCGAAUCUCGGAAAGCCGGUCUCAGUUCGGAUUGGGGUCUGCAACUCGACCUCAUGAAGUCGGAGUCGCUAGUAAUCGCAGAUCAGCAACGCUGCGGUGAAUACGUUCCCGGGGCU